RNAcentral lists this transfer RNA (69 nucleotides) under Selaginella moellendorffii. It matches the Rfam family "tRNA". From Rfam's summary of the family: Transfer RNA (tRNA) molecules are approximately 80 nucleotides in length. The record is from Rfam by way of RNAcentral. Lineage: Eukaryota; Viridiplantae; Streptophyta; Lycopodiopsida; Selaginellales; Selaginellaceae.
GCUUGAGUAGCUCAGACGGUCAGAGCGUUGUUAACCGCAAGGUCGGAGGUUCGACCCCUCCCUCAAGCG